Haplochromis burtoni (Burton's mouthbrooder) is the source of this 368-nucleotide long non-coding RNA. RefSeq lists it as uncharacterized. The record is from RefSeq and is a predicted model, not a curated record. Lineage: Eukaryota; Metazoa; Chordata; Actinopteri; Cichliformes; Cichlidae. The transcript is spliced from 4 exons.
GAAGAGUUCAAGCAGACAUCAAGGUGACAGCUGUCAGUCACGAGGAGAAAAUUGGUUUGAAAUUUUCACAUCAAAUUUGUCAGAGAAGAACAACAAAGCAUUAACGGAUGAUGCCAACGAUGACACUUUGCCUGCUGUUGUGGGUUCUUGGUACUGGAGUUAUUUUAUCAGAGGGAGAUGAUCCACCUUUUGAUGAUGAAGAUUAUAGUUAUUUUUUUACUUCUGGCGAAAUAAAUUCAACCUUAAUAAUAAAUGACACUGAACUGCUGCCCGCUCUACUGUCAGAUUUUGGCAGUGGUGAAAUUCCAGAAAAAGACACGACAGGCUCCUCAGCUCCCAGAAACCAUGGACUGAAAACAACUGGUGCU